AGUCUGCAACUCGAGUGCAUGAAGCUGGAAUCGCUAGUAAUCGCGGAUCAGAAUGCCGCGGUGAAUACGUUCCCGGGUCUUGUACACACCGCCCGUCACACCAUGGGAGUCGGGAAUGCCCGAAGCCGGUGGCCCAAUCGAAAGAAGGGAGCCGUCGAAGGCAGGCCGGAUGACUGGGGUGAAGUCGUAACAAGGUACC
This 199-nucleotide ribosomal RNA is filed under the name uncultured bacterium. Its description in RNAcentral is "partial 16S ribosomal RNA". It matches the Rfam family "Bacterial small subunit ribosomal RNA", at positions 1302 to 1500 of the family's 1533-position model. The record is from RNAcentral.